CGGUCCAGACUCCUACGGGAGGCAGCAGUAGGGAAUCUUCCGCAAUGGGCGAAAGCCUGACGGAGCAACGCCGCGUGAGUGAUGAAGGGUUUCGGCUCGUAAUACUCUGUUAUUAGGGAAGAACAAAUGUGUAAGUAAACUGUGCACAUCUUGACGGCACCUAAUCAGAAAGCCACGGCUAACUACGUGCCAGCAGCCGCGGUAA
This 205-nucleotide ribosomal RNA is filed under the name Staphylococcus xylosus. Its description in RNAcentral is "partial 16S ribosomal RNA". It matches the Rfam family "Bacterial small subunit ribosomal RNA", at positions 327 to 523 of the family's 1533-position model. The record is from RNAcentral. Lineage: Bacteria; Bacillati; Bacillota; Bacilli; Caryophanales; Staphylococcaceae.